This 273-nucleotide ribosomal RNA is filed under the name uncultured bacterium. RNAcentral's name for it is "partial 16S ribosomal RNA". It matches the Rfam family "Bacterial small subunit ribosomal RNA", at positions 84 to 354 of the family's 1533-position model. The record is from RNAcentral.
CCUGCCGGCGACCGGCGCACGGGUGAGUAACACGUAUGUAACCUGCCCUAUGCAGGGGGAUAACCCGGAGAAAUCCGGCCUAAUACCGCGUAACACCUUUUGGGAGCACUUCCCGGGAGGUUAAAGGAGAGAUCCGGCAUAGGAUGGACAUGCGUCGCAUUAGGUAGACGGCGGGGUAACGGCCCACCGUGCCGACGAUGCGUAGGGGUUCUGAGAGGAAGGCCCCCCACACUGGUACUGAGACACGGACCAGACUCCUACGGAAGGCAGCAG